RNAcentral lists this ribosomal RNA (491 nucleotides) under uncultured bacterium. Its description in RNAcentral is "partial 16S ribosomal RNA". It matches the Rfam family "Bacterial small subunit ribosomal RNA", at positions 29 to 506 of the family's 1533-position model. The record is from RNAcentral.
AGUGAACGCUGGCGGUAGGCCUAACACAUGCAAGUCGAACGGCAGCACAGUAAGAGCUUGCUCUUACGGGUGGCGAGUGGCGGACGGGUGAGGAAUACAUCGGAAUCUACUUUUUCGUGGGGGAUAACGUAGGGAAACUUACGCUAAUACCGCAUACGACCUACGGGUGAAAGCAGGGGAUCUUCGGACCUUGCGCGAUUGAAUGAGCCGAUGUCGGAUUAGCUAGUUGGCGGGGUAAAGGCCCACCAAGGCGACGAUCCGUAGCUGGUCUGAGAGGAUGAUCAGCCACACUGGAACUGAGACACGGUCCAGACUCCAACGGGAGGCAGCAGUGGGGAAUAUUGGACAAUGGGCGCAAGCAUGAUCCAGCCAUACCGCGUGGGUGAAGAAGGCCUUCGGGUUGUAAAGCCCUUUUGUUGGGAAAGAAAAGCAGCAGGUUAAUACCCCGCUGUUCUGACGGUACCCAAAGAAUAAGCACCGGCUAACUUCGU